Molecule: long non-coding RNA, 202 nt
Filed under: Elaeis guineensis (African oil palm)
Lineage: Eukaryota; Viridiplantae; Streptophyta; Magnoliopsida; Arecales; Arecaceae
Description: long non-coding RNA (EGUI_LNC081025)
Source: RNAcentral
CUGGAUCUAAUCGAUAUCACAAAAAUAAUAUGAAAUUUGAUUGAAUCAAUCAAGAGUGGCUUUGAUAUCACUGAUAGAUUUUAGUGAUGCAGCAAAAUAUGAAUUUCAAAAAUUUUAGCAUGCAUUCAACAAUUGAAAAUAAUGUUUAACAAUUAAAUAAAACCACCGAAACAUAAAAUCAUAGGAACCCCUUGAUGAUUAC